GCUGGCGGCAUGCUUAACACAUGCAAGUCGAACGGAAACGAUGAAGAGCUUGCUCUUCAGGCGUCGAGUGGCGGACGGGUGAGUAAUGCAUAGGAAUCUGCCCAGUAGCGGGGGACAACUCGAAGAAAUUCGAGCUAAUACCGCAUACGCCCUACGGGGGAAAGCAGGGGAUCUUCGGACCUUGCACUAUUGGAUGAGCCUAUGUCAGAUUAGCUUGUUGGUGGGGUAACGGCCUACCAAGGCGACGAUCUGUAGCUGGUCUGAGAGGACGAUCAGCCACACUGGGACUGAGACACGGCCCAGACUCCUACGGGAGGCAGCAGUGGGGAAUAUUGCACAAUGGGCGAAAGCCUGAUGCAGCAAUGCCGCGUGUGUGAAGAAGGCCUGCGGGUUGUAAAGCACUUUCAGUAGGGAGGAAAAGCAACAGGUUAAUACCCUGGUGUCUUGACGUUACCUACAGAAGAAGCACCGGCUAACUCUGUGCCAGCAGCCGCGGUAAUACAGAGGGUGCAAGCGUUAAUCGGAAUUACUGGGCGUAAAGCGCGCGUAGGCGGCUUGGUCAGUCGGAUGUGAAAGCCCCGGGCUUAACCUGGGAAUUGCAUUCGAUACUGCUAAGCUAGAGUGUAGUAGA
RNAcentral lists this ribosomal RNA (631 nucleotides) under uncultured Gammaproteobacteria bacterium. Its description in RNAcentral is "bacterial SSU rRNA". It matches the Rfam family "Bacterial small subunit ribosomal RNA", at positions 35 to 655 of the family's 1533-position model. Lineage: Bacteria; Pseudomonadati; Pseudomonadota; Gammaproteobacteria. The record is from RNAcentral.